GUACUUGUACUUCCUCUUCAAAUCUCAAAUCAGCAGAAUUACUAGAACUCACUGCAUGUUGGUGUUUCACAUUUUUGUAAUCACCUGGGUGGCUUUUUUUGAGCUUGCUUUCGUUGUUGCUAGCUGAAGUGAAUUUCAAGCAGUAUGGUGACCUGACUACGAUUUUGUAGAAUAGAAUAAAACACAAUCAUGCAUCCAGGAUGGCUUCCCAUGUAAUGGAAUUCAAUCUCCAAAUCUGAACAGUUGCCAACUACUGCCUAUACAAAGAACCCAGUCCGUCUUGAUCAUGUCUGCAUCGUCAACAAACGAGAAUAAGCUGCACCAUUUCACCGCGGGUGCAAUCGGUGGGGUGUUCUCAGUUGCGUCUGGCCAUCCAUUUGAUACCAUAAAGGUGCGACUGCAGACAAUGUACCGGGCUCCAGCCCUGGGUCAGCGCACAUUCACUGGUCUUGCUGACUGUGGCAUGCAGACCAUACGCCAUGAGGGUGUGGCUGGUCUGUUCAAGGGUCUUGUACCCCCUAUGCUAGCUGCUGUUCCAUCCAAUGCCUCUUUCUUCAUGGGCUUAGCUGUUGGCAGAUCUCUUUUCGGCAAAGCUCAAGAGGACAUGUCGAAGACUGAAUCGUUUCUAUCAGGGUGUGUCGGCGGCUGCUUUCUUGUUUUGGUCCAUACACCUGCGGAGCGUAUCAAAUGUAUCUUGCAGACAAGACAGCAAAACAGCAGUAGAUCACAACUGCACAAUGUCUGGGACUGUGCACGGACCAUUGUUCGGCAAGAGGGCUUCUCUGGGUUCUACCGAGGCGCCUGCAUCACAGCUGUAAGAGAUGUUCCAACGGGUGGUGCUUACAUUCUAACCUACUACUCGCUGAGGAAUGCUAUGGGCGGCAGCGACAGCAGCAAUGAGAAGGACACCGGUGGAAGCAUCAGCGGCAACAGUAGCAAGCUGUCCCAAGCUGGCACCAUCAUGCUUGCUGGUGGACUGGCUGGAAUGGUGGACUGGACAUUGUCGAUUGCACCGGACACACUGAAAUCACGUGUACAAACAGCGCCACCAGGGAUGUAUCCCAGAGGUGCACGUGAUGCCUUGCGUGAUUUGAUGGCUACGGAAGGUCCCAGAGGAUUGUUUCAUGGGCUGUCAGCGGUGUUACUCCGGUCAUUCAUAUCCAACGCUUUCUGCAUGUUGGGAUAUGAGUUCACUCUCCGUCUGUUAUCACAUGCUAAUGGAUGACAUGACGUACACAUAGCAGCUGCAAUGAAGAAAGAAAAAGAGCUACAGAGGCAACUGACUUAGUGUGUGCGAUGUAGACAAUCAGUACCCGUAUUGUACUUGCCGUACAUCUGGGAUUGGCUAAGAGAGUACAAGUGGAACUGAACAGGCAACACCGUGCACAGCUGAUUACAUCCAAGAAUCCUCUGACGAAUCCAGUGGACAGAUCUAUGCCAAGCAGCUUGGUUGCCAAGAACCCUGUGAAAAAUCGAUUGGGCAGGUCCAUGGGAAGCAGUUUGGUUGCCAAGAGGACAAAUCCAGUGGACAGAUCUAUGUGAAGCAGUUUGGUUGCAAGAAGCCGAGCAGGCGCGAUGAGGCGGCUCUGGAACAGCUGAGCUUGCUAUCGCAGCAGAAUCAAUACUGCGGCUUGCAUGCAGCAUUCUUUGCGAAUAUCUGCGCUAUACGCCAACCGUGCAAAUCAUUCAGGUAGCAGUGGUGCGGCCAACUCUGCUAGCCUUUGGGACAGCUACUCCCAGCACAUGGUAUUGGGCUAGUGAAAUUACAAACGGAUCUAAAAGUGUAUUUGUGAAUGCUAUUCUAGACUAUUCGUGCAAGGACUGACUGCUUUAUUGGCGUUUGUUUGCCAAUCUCUUUAAAGUUUGAGAACAAGAUCCUGUCGGAAUUUAGCUUAUUAUCUUGCCAAUGCUUCCCCACUGCAAGACUUCAAACUCACUGGUACUCGUCAAUGUACAGCUUGCCUUUAUUUUCAAUUUUCCAUAUUCCUCCCACAUCGAGAUGAAGACAAUAAUUGUGCUAUUUCGUACUUCAGUGUCCACCUACACUUAUGUAGCGCCAUAGCCACUGUGGUAUGUGUAACAUGUUUGCGCUGUCUA
Sycon ciliatum is the source of this 2097-nucleotide RNA transcript. It is a transcript of the gene named mitochondrial carnitine/acylcarnitine carrier protein-like, with no coding region annotated. NCBI's taxonomy places the organism in Eukaryota, Metazoa, Porifera, Calcarea, Leucosolenida, Sycettidae. The record is from RefSeq and is a predicted model, not a curated record. The transcript has 11 exons.